GAUGAACGCUGGCGGCGUGCCUAAUACAUGCAAGUCGAGCGAACAGACGAGAGUGCUUGCACUCUCUGACGUUAGCGGCGGACGGGUGAGUAACACGUGGGUAACCUACCUAUAAGACUGGGAUAACUUCGGGAAACCGGAGCUAAUACCGGAUAAUAUUUAGCUUCGCAUGAAGCAAUAGUGAAAGACGGUUCUGCUGUCACUUAUAGAUGGACCCGCGGUGUAUUAGCUAGUUGGUGAGGUAACGGCUCACCAAGGCAACGAUACAUAGCCGACCUGAGAGGGUGAUCGGCCACACUGGGACUGAGACACGGCCCAGACUCCUACGGGAGGCGGCAGUAGGGAAUCUUCCGCAAUGGACGAAAGUCUGACGGAGCAAUGCCGCGUGAGUGAAGAAGGUUUUCGGAUCGUAAAACUCUGUUGUAAGGGAAGAACAAGUACGUUAGUAACUGAACGUACCUUGACGGUACCUUACCAGAAAGCCACGGCUAACUACGUG
Molecule: ribosomal RNA, 499 nt
Filed under: uncultured bacterium
Lineage: Bacteria
Description: partial 16S ribosomal RNA
Rfam family: Bacterial small subunit ribosomal RNA
Source: RNAcentral